Entamoeba invadens IP1 is the source of this 73-nucleotide transfer RNA. It matches the Rfam family "tRNA". Rfam says of the family: Transfer RNA (tRNA) molecules are approximately 80 nucleotides in length. Their secondary structure includes four short double-helical elements and three loops (D, anti-codon, and T loops). Further hydrogen bonds mediate the characteristic L-shaped molecular structure. tRNAs have two regions of fundamental functional importance: the anti-codon, which is responsible for specific mRNA codon recognition, and the 3' end, to which the tRNAs corresponding amino acid is attached (by aminoacyl-tRNA synthetases). tRNAs cope with the degeneracy of the genetic code in two manners: having more than one tRNA (with a specific anti-codon) for a particular amino acid; and 'wobble' base-pairing, i.e. permitting non-standard base-pairing at the 3rd anti-codon position. The record is from Rfam. Lineage: Eukaryota; Evosea; Mastigamoebida; Endamoebidae.
GGGGAUGUAGCUCAGAUGGUAGAGCAUUCGCUUAGCAUGCGAGGGGCACGGGGAUCGAUACCCCGCAUCUCCA